GCAGUAUUUUCUUUCACAAGCGUGGUGGACAUUGUUCUAGCGAUGGAGUUGGAUGGUAUAAUUGAUAACUUCAUGGCAUCUUACCUGAAAGAGGGUGAGCCGUAUCUGAAUACAGCACAUGGGACCCUGAUCGACUACUGGGACGGAUCAGGUCAUUACUGCAUGUAUCUUAUGAUGGUUACUGCUAUUGUAUGGGGUCAAAGCUACAAAGAAGUUGGUCUUUACUGGGCUGGAUCCAUCUUGAAUAGUAUGGUAGUCUUCAUGCCAGGCAAUGUCUCCGGCAAGUAUGGUUCCAAUGUCAAGUCUUCCUACUUUCUCAACAUCCCCUAUGUGCUCUUCCCAAUCCUCGUUGCACUGAAGUGUCUGAAGCAGAGACCAGAAACCAACGUUGAGAGAGCGGAUGUUGUAGCUGCACAGAAAAAGAGUAUCUGGAAGAGACCUUUGGACAUGUUCUUUGUUCUCUUUCUUGUCUUCGCCAUCUUAAUCUCUUUCCUUCGGAUGGCUGUUGCGUUGAAGAGCCCAGCUUCUAUCGCUGUAUACUACCUCAAAAAUGUUGAACCAUACUUCCAGGAUCCCGUCUUAUAUCCUAUGAUCCAAGCAUUAGUAUACUGGUUCUAUUUUGUACCUUACUUCGUUGCUGCGAUCUAUGGCUUCUUCAACCCAGGCUGUACGUGGAUGUCAGACUGGGCAUUGUUGAGUGCUGGGGCAUCUGCUCAGGCCCAGUUUUCACACAUCGGGUCUUCCCUUCACAGUCGCACACCAUACAUCUACCGAGUCCCCAGCGACGGUCUUACAGCUUUCUGGAUAAUCAAUGUGGCUCUUAUGGUCGUACCGCAGCUCAUAGCGUGGAGGUGCCUUACCUGGCCUGCAUUCUUUGAGGUUAAGCCAUGCCCUUCAGAGAUCAGAGAUGGGAAAUCCAGCUUAGAGCAGCGGAAAGAUAAAUAAUACAACAGAGGUUACACUAUUCACUCAUAAACACUGAGCGAUUAAAACAAUAAUUUCUUGUGAGUAGCCCUUUGGAUUGGAACCAUCUCCCAUCAGAGAUACUGAACAGUACAUCACUAGAGGUGUUCAAGUCAGAGAUGGAAAAGACUAGGUAUCAUGGCGACCUCUCUCACCCGCUGCAUUCAUACCAAUUUAAAGUCCUACAGCAUAUACAUCCAGAUCCAGAUAAUAACAAUGGUGCAGGUUGAUGUUUAGAAUUGAUCUGGUUCGAUCAUGCUUGAGUAACACCAGAGGGCCAUUUUCAUGAAACCUGUUUGUAAGUUACGAAUGACUUUACGUACAACUGCUGCCCCUUCCUGUUUCUUCAUGAUAUAUUCCUGUGUUGCUGACUUCGGUGCAUGAUUUAAUUUUACGUAAAUUUGAGCGUAACUUUACGAACAGCUUUAUGGAAACCCUGUCCUGGCUUGUUUGCAAAGCGUGAUUGCAGGGCCAAUAUAUUUAUGCUUGAUUAUGUGCAAUCAAGUCUACAAAUCAGUGGUUAUACGACCCUGAUAAAGGCUUACGAUUCUUUAAAUUUCAACUUUGAUUUGAUUGGCUACUGAGCCAUGUUACCAUGAUGACUUUUAAUCAUUAGUGAAACAGGCCUAGAGGGAAUUCUAGUGAGUGAUGCUCUAUUAUUUUCAUGUUUGGUUCCAGAUAGGUGUACCUGGUCAAAUUGCUACAUGGCACCUGCAAAUUGGAAGGGAGCUUUUGCUCCAUGAAAAAAGCUGAUGACUAAUACCUCGGUCACAUAUGCUCUACGGCGGCCGUACGAACAAAUGUGACCAUGGUAUUAAUCACAACCUUUUUUCUGGUGACACCACUCUCAUGAUCGCAUUUCCAUAAUGAUUUUCUGUUCUUAACAAAUAUAUUCUGCUAAAUAUGUACAUUCUUAAGGAUAUAUCAUUACUGUAGUCACCAGAAUUAUGUGCACUUUCUCCACCUCCUGGGAAGCAUUCCAACAAGAGUUUCAAAAUUUGAUUCCUAGUCAUAUUACCUAAGACUUUUACAUCCUACCAGGUACCCCAUUUAGUGGUCCCAUGACAUUUACUCCGGCGACAAAUGCUCCACUGUAAAUUCCUUACACCAAAGGAAAGACUAUUUUUAAGCCUAGAUUUAACACUAUACCCUAUCCUUAACCUAACACAAAGCCCUAUUGCAACCCAAACCCUAACCCUAUAUCUUAGACGAUAUAAAGCCCGGAGCAAUUGUCGGCGGAGCAAAUUUGUCACCUCAUUUAGCACCUGGUUGGAGAGUGGCAAAGUGUGGAUUGAACACUUGACCAUCUUAUUACAAGGUGAGAGUCAGAACCACUAAACCUCAAUGCCUUUUGUACUAAAACUUUUUUUGUCUCUCUUGAGUGAUGUUUAGAACAGGCAGAUUCCAAUCUGUGUAUGUCGUUGCUUGAGAAUCAAAACGGUACUACCUCUGUGUUACUCGCUACAGCAUGUCAUCUAGGCGACAGUAGACGGCGCUGUAUGGUGACCACCACCGUCGCCCUUUGUGUGUUGAAAUCAAGUUUCUCUGGGGUGGACUAUGCUUUUAAAGAAUACUGUACCACCAAUUAUUGUUUUUAUGCAUAUAUGCAAGCUUUCUUGCAAACAUGUAUGAAAUGGCCCUGCUCUCAUUAAAAAAACGCAGGAUUUGUAUGUUUGCAAUUCUUUAUCCUGAUACAUGGAAUGAAAAUUUUUAACUGAGGGUUGUAAUGAUAUUUUACUGAGAUAAGCAAUCAAUCUUAGUCCAUAAAGCAAUCUUAAUCCAAAACUCCCCCAAUGACUAUGGCAGGAGGUAUUUAUUUGAUGUUGUUUUUUAAUCUCAAAAUCAAUUUAUUUACAGAAAUAAUAUUUGAUUGCAAUGUCUAUUACUGAAUAAAAGUGGAUUGAUGCAAUGACUGAUUAGAUCAACUGAAAUUAAUGUAUAUUACAAAUUGAUAACUGGAUUUUUAAUGAUUACUGCCAUUUAAACUCUUUAUGUGCCACUCUUUGGUGGUAUGUUUUACUGUAAUUGGUUCUUGUAAGCCUAGUUUUCAUGGUGCUCCCAAAUAUUUUGCGAGGGUGUUGCAACACAAACCAUUCGCAAAUAUGUUUCUAUAAAUUACGAACGAACAAAAAACCGACUCCCGAACGAUUUGUGAAGCUUCCAAACCUUAGGUGCGUGUCUUGCACACAUUUUCCGCUUUAAAUGUGAAUGUUGGACUCAACCACUUUUGGAAAUUCAUUGCAUUCCUUGCUAAAAAGUUUGUGAGCCCUGGUGAAAACCUGGCUUUAGAAGUUUGUUGUGCUUUUGUGUGUGUUUCAAGAUUCUUGUUUUGUGUGUGUGUGUUUAAUAAUAAUAAUAAUAGUACAAUAAUCAUACUCAAUUUCUAUAUAGCGCAAAUUACAGUUAAGUCUCUUCAUGUUUUUAAAUAAUGAUGCCAGAACAUGACUUUUUAACUACAGUGUAACUAGUCUUGUGUGGAAUCUCGGACAAAAAAAAAUUAAUAAAACUUCUCAAAGCAUUUUUUAUCUGCCAAGUGCAAAUCAAAUUGGCAUUAGAUUAGCAUCUGCGUUAAUUGCAUAGGUAGGUAAAGCGAUAUGAAAUAGUUCUUCAUUAUCCCUGUCCUCUUUGUCAUGGGACAAGUAUCAAAUUUAUUAGAGGGUCUCCUUUACACUUGUCACGAAUCUGAAUUGCAUAUAAAGAUUGUGUUCCUUCAUAGCAAAACUUGCGACAUGAUUGAACUUUGUACAAAAUCAGGUCAAGAUAUCUUUUUUAAUUACUGCCUACAAUGUACAGUUUGAAUAGAAGAGAGAUGGUGAUAUUUCAUAUAAAUGUGAUUUUAAGGAAUGGAUUAUUAGCUUUCAUUGCUUUUUCUGAAAUAAGAAAUGAUGUGAAAAGUGAUGACAUGUAUCAAAGUUUGAAUGAAUGAGUAAAAAGUAUUAAUCAUUUGUAACAUUUUUUUUACACUUUUUGUACCGAAUUUGAUCAGUACCACCAUUUAUAAUCCAAUAGUACUCUUGAAUUAUUAUAGGUAUACCUCUGCCAUGGUACAAAGUACAUUUGAUAAUAACCCCUGAGAAGUAUUUGAAUUAUUCAUUAUGCAUAAAUGAGGAAUCAUGAGUGAAAUCAAUUGGAAGAAAGAUUAUCAAAAGGUCAUGAGGCAGUAUCUCUAAAGUUCCAUACCUGUUCUUUGAUUUCAUACCUCAUUCAAAGAAAAUACUGUUUUUAAAUUGUUUGCAGAGCAUGAUUUCUUUAAACAGAUGCACUUUCACCUUUAGGAGUUAUUGGAUUAAUCUGAUAGAUUGAACAAUUAAUAGAAUCCAGUCUGCCAGUCUGCAUACACUCACGCCGUGAAAGUUUAUAGGUCUUGUGAUUUUAAUCCAUAGAAUAUGAAUAUUCUUGUAAACAGGCCUAAUUCUGAGAAAUUUUUCACUUGUGUUUUGCUUCUUUUUCAACCCAAUAUUUUGAAUUAUGUGGAAGGGUUUGAAGAUCAAUUGAAAAUUUAUUGACAUUGUUGCAGUAUGUACGUAUGUUAACUAUGCCAAAGAACUUGUACCCGUAUACUGGAAAGUAUAUUUAUAUAUUUGCAUCAUUAAUAUACUUGAUUUGUAUAUAUUUGCUAUGAA
RNA transcript from Lytechinus pictus (painted urchin), 4586 nucleotides. It is a transcript of the gene named transmembrane 6 superfamily member 1-like, with no coding region annotated. Lineage: Eukaryota; Metazoa; Echinodermata; Echinoidea; Temnopleuroida; Toxopneustidae. The transcript has 8 exons. The record is from RefSeq and is a predicted model, not a curated record.